Molecule: long non-coding RNA, 3094 nt
Organism: Bombus impatiens (common eastern bumble bee)
Lineage: Eukaryota; Metazoa; Arthropoda; Insecta; Hymenoptera; Apidae
Exons: 3
Source: RefSeq, a predicted model, not a curated record
UCUGCAAAUGUACGACAUAUAAUUAAAAAAAAAAGCCAGUCGGUGCAGGGUGGCGAAGAACAUGAUGUUUCAGAAUAUUCUCACAAAUCAAGCAGGAUGAAGAGCAAUGAAAGAGCAUGGAAAGCGAACGAUUUUUCGCUGCAAGAUGUGCUAAGAUGAAAGAAAAUUGAAAAAUCGGCGAGGUAUGUUAUUAGAGGCGGAGUGUCAAGGUAGCGAAAAUUUGAAAUUUGAAAACUGAAAAAUAUUAAGGACCCGCGAGAGAUGUCGAUUGGCAGAGGCGAGCUUGCAGACUGGCUGAAAGCUUUGAGAGAUUUCGUGGAUCACUAUAUUCCCCACCUUCUAUAUUUUCCCUCUCCUACCACGGAAAAUCGGUGAACAUGAAGAAAAGGAGAGAGAGAGAGAAAGAGAGAGAAGAGGAGUAGAUGGUCGAAUAGUGGUAGAUGGUGGAUGGUGGAAUGGAAGUUAUUUUGGUAACUUAGGGAGCCAAGAAUGGGCAGGGAUAGUUUUAACGGCACUGUUUUCUCAUUCUGUAGUGAUUUUAAUAGUGGUAGGAGAUCUGACGAUUGCGCUGACGCGUCAGAGAAGAUAUAAGAGACAAAUUUCCUGAUAUACACCGUACCUUAAAUUCGGAGAGAGAAGCCAUUAAAUCGUCAAGCUCCUUGGUAGCGUUGCUGGCGGUGUGACCAUUGGUAUAACUCUUCUGGGCCUCGCUGCGAUUCAACGAUCCGUGCUGUCUAGGAGGAUAACCAUCGUACACGGGUUGCACUUCCGUGGACGUUUCUUGAAUGGUAACUUUCACUCUACCAUCGGCAGGAUAAUCCCUGACGAAGAAGAUCGCGUUAAAAUCAACUCCGAAGUACCGUGUUCAAAUUGCAAACUUCCCAACUUUAUCUUUUCCUCCUCCUUCUCGUUCGUUCGUGAUUUUUCCAAGAAUAAAAGAGUAACGCUUACCCGUUCGGUACCGCGGUGCUCAAUUCUUCGAGCAACGAAUCGACGGUGGGCCUUGAAGCUGACAUGCUACUCGGAGAACGAAGCAUCGGACUAGAAUCACCAUUCAUUCCUCCCGAGGAAACGCGAUUCUCUACGGUCAUCGAUAUUUCGAUCAUCGUCGUUGCACAGUUUUCGUCAAAUUCUAAUUUAGCGUAUCUGAUCGAAACUGAUGUAAACGAAAGACAUGAAAAUAGGAUGCUGACCUCUUUCCUGAUAGUGAGCAUUGUAACGAGCGUUGCUCAGAUCUUGCAACAACGUGUCCAACUCCGACAGAUUGUUGUUGAGGGAAGGCAUCUUCCCUCCGCCGCUGCCUUUCGCGAUGCUCUCCUCGAUGGCCUCGCGGUUCUGAUAAGUCGGCUGUAACAGCAGUUCGUCGUUCGCUAUCGAUCCUUUUCAACUUUAUUUAUCAUCGAUAUUUAACUCAUCCAAUUUUUACACCUAAUAUGUCCAUUUCUCGACAGAUCUUUCCAGGAUUAUCGCGGAAUAGCAAUUUCUCGUUGGUUGUAAUAUUCGUUUGUUCGAUUGGUCUGAAUAUUUGCGUUAACAGGCGAAUGAGAAUCGACUAGGAGAGUCGUGUCAAGUGCGUGUGCGUACGUUUGUUCGUUACUCGGGGGAAGAACGAGGGAAAAAAGUGUCGCGGACAAGAGACAGAUGCCAAGUAGCCGCAAAAGCGGUAUUAUUUCAAAACAUGAUGUCAUUAGAUGCUGCGCGGAAUUUGUAAAUACAUUAUCAAUUAGGUGGUCGCGCGGAGGACAAGGCGUCAUGCACUUUUAAUAGAAACCUGCCCGCCAAACCGACCAACAUUACUCGUUUGUUGCAAAAUCCUCGAGCAAGAGAGAGGCACCGCGAAUUUGUUCCGGCGAUUCAACGAGCAACGACCAGAACCGAAUCAACUUUGCUCCAACUUGAUCUUCGGCCGAUUAAAUCGCUGAUAAUUAAUCAACUACGUAGGAAGACACGUUUAUCAGAUAACGUUCCGUUAAGAUCGUCUGAUACGUCUCAUUAUUCAGAUCUAAUAUAUUCUUUCGUCUUUCGUCAUCGUCAUGAAGUGAUACGGAACGAUACAUCCUGAUGGUGGAAACUAGGUUGCUCAGUGAGUUGUCGUUCCAAAAAUAUCCAUAGCGAACCACCGACGGAAAGAAAAUGUCGCAUUACAUCCGACAAUCCUGCAGAACCCUGGUCGAAGUUUCUUCCACUGAUCCCUCGAACGUGGAAUCGUAGCCUGCGAAACGCUUUGCUCGUCAAGGCUGGUCGAUCAAAAAAUAAACACGGGCCUAUAAACCGCCGCGAUCUACAAUGACACAGGGAACUUCAUAAAUCACCGAUUCACCAAACUUGCGAAAAUAGGCCGAACGCAAACUUUCCUGUGGAGAUUUCCUCCGUGCUUCCCAACUUCGUCUAAUAUUCAUCCGGUAGAAGACGAAGAGGACGUGUCUUAAGAGAGAAGUUGAUAGCAGCAAAUGGAACAUGACGAUUUUCAUAGGUGCAAUAAAAUCUAUUUAUAAGACGAAGCUCCAGGAAUGUUCGAAAAGAUAUCCGCUAUAUUCACGGCAAUUUCGAGCAAGCCUCUAGCGGGGUUUCUGAGUACUGAAUAUCCUUGUUUAGUAGUGAAAAAAUUGUUUCUUCGAUCGAAUGGUAAAACACGCUAGGUGAAACAGAAACCGUGUGACGUAUCUAUCUAUGCACAGCCGUUAUGCCUCGGUCUUUUCUCAUGCGCUUGCAUACGACGGGAAAGAAGAAGACCAGUGAUUGUACAAUGACACCGACGAUCGAUAAAAUAUACGAAGGCUCAGCGAAAAAGUGUAUGGAGAAUGUUGCCCUGAAUGUCUAAAGUUUUAUGAAUACGUGUAGUAAUUUGUUUUAAUGUUUGAAGAGAACUAUGAAGUUGAAUUUCUUUCUUUUUUUCUUUAAAUUCAACUUUUAUCUGAAAAAAUUGUGGAUAAAGUUGAUAAAGCUAAUAUAAAAAACUUAUAGUUAAGUAAAUAUUACCGACGGUAUUUUUCUAUCGAAGAUGGAUUUUAUCUAGAAUUAGCUCAAUUUAAAGUUGAAUAGCAAUGAAGAUAAUCUAUGUAUAAAUGAACAUUAAAACGAGCUUUGAAAAUUC